Molecule: ribosomal RNA, 2505 nt
Filed under: Escherichia coli
Lineage: Bacteria; Pseudomonadati; Pseudomonadota; Gammaproteobacteria; Enterobacterales; Enterobacteriaceae
Description: partial 23S ribosomal RNA
Rfam family: Bacterial large subunit ribosomal RNA
Source: RNAcentral
UAUCCUGUCUGAAUAUGGGGGGACCAUCCUCCAAGGCUAAAUACUCCUGACUGACCGAUAGUGAACCAGUACCGUGAGGGAAAGGCGAAAAGAACCCCGGCGAGGGGAGUGAAAAAGAACCUGAAACCGUGUACGUACAAGCAGUGGGAGCCUCUUUAUGGGGUGACUGCGUACCUUUUGUAUAAUGGGUCAGCGACUUAUAUUCUGUAGCAAGGUUAACCGAAUAGGGGAGCCGAAGGGAAACCGAGUCUUAACUGGGCGUUAAGUUGCAGGGUAUAGACCCGAAACCCGGUGAUCUAGCCAUGGGCAGGUUGAAGGUUGGGUAACACUAACUGGAGGACCGAACCGACUAAUGUUGAAAAAUUAGCGGAUGACUUGUGGCUGGGGGUGAAAGGCCAAUCAAACCGGGAGAUAGCUGGUUCUCCCCGAAAGCUAUUUAGGUAGCGCCUCGUGAAUUCAUCUCCGGGGGUAGAGCACUGUUUCGGCAAGGGGGUCAUCCCGACUUACCAACCCGAUGCAAACUGCGAAUACCGGAGAAUGUUAUCACGGGAGACACACGGCGGGUGCUAACGUCCGUCGUGAAGAGGGAAACAACCCAGACCGCCAGCUAAGGUCCCAAAGUCAUGGUUAAGUGGGAAACGAUGUGGGAAGGCCCAGACAGCCAGGAUGUUGGCUUAGAAGCAGCCAUCAUUUAAAGAAAGCGUAAUAGCUCACUGGUCGAGUCGGCCUGCGCGGAAGAUGUAACGGGGCUAAACCAUGCACCGAAGCUGCGGCAGCGACACUAUGUGUUGUUGGGUAGGGGAGCGUUCUGUAAGCCUGUGAAGGUGUGCUGUGAGGUAUGCUGGAGGUAUCAGAAGUGCGAAUGCUGACAUAAGUAACGAUAAAGCGGGUGAAAAGCCCGCUCGCCGGAAGACCAAGGGUUCCUGUCCAACGUUAAUCGGGGCAGGGUGAGUCGACCCCUAAGGCGAGGCCGAAAGGCGUAGUCGAUGGGAAACAGGUUAAUAUUCCUGUACUUGGUGUUACUGCGAAGGGGGGACGGAGAAGGCUAUGUUGGCCGGGCGACGGUUGUCCCGGUUUAAGCGUGUAGGCUGGUUUUCCAGGCAAAUCCGGAAAAUCAAGGCUGAGGCGUGAUGACGAGGCACUACGGUGCUGAAGCAACAAAUGCCCUGCUUCCAGGAAAAGCCUCUAAGCAUCAGGUAACAUCAAAUCGUACCCCAAACCGACACAGGUGGUCAGGUAGAGAAUACCAAGGCGCUUGAGAGAACUCGGGUGAAGGAACUAGGCAAAAUGGUGCCGUAACUUCGGGAGAAGGCACGCUGAUAUGUAGGUGAAGUCCCUUGCGGAUGGAGCUGAAAUCAGUCGAAGAUACCAGCUGGCUGCAACUGUUUAUUAAAAACACAGCACUGUGCAAACACGAAAGUGGACGUAUACGGUGUGACGCCUGCCCGGUGCCGGAAGGUUAAUUGAUGGGGUUAGCGGUAACGCGAAGCUCUUGAUCGAAGCCCCGGUAAACGGCGGCCGUAACUAUAACGGUCCUAAGGUAGCGAAAUUCCUUGUCGGGUAAGUUCCGACCUGCACGAAUGGCGUAAUGAUGGCCAGGCUGUCUCCACCCGAGACUCAGUGAAAUUGAACUCGCUGUGAAGAUGCAGUGUACCCGCGGCAAGACGGAAAGACCCCGUGAACCUUUACUAUAGCUUGACACUGAACAUUGAGCCUUGAUGUGUAGGAUAGGUGGGAGGCUUUGAAGUGUGGACGCCAGUCUGCAUGGAGCCGACCUUGAAAUACCACCCUUUAAUGUUUGAUGUUCUAACGUUGGCCCCUGAUCGGGGUUGCGGACAGUGUCUGGUGGGUAGUUUGACUGGGGCGGUCUCCUCCUAAAGAGUAACGGAGGAGCACGAAGGUUGGCUAAUCCUGGUCGGACAUCAGGAGGUUAGUGCAAUGGCAUAAGCCAGCUUGACUGCGAGCGUGACGGCGCGAGCAGGUGCGAAAGCAGGUCAUAGUGAUCCGGUGGUUCUGAAUGGAAGGGCCAUCGCUCAACGGAUAAAAGGUACUCCGGGGAUAACAGGCUGAUACCGCCCAAGAGUUCAUAUCGACGGCGGUGUUUGGCACCUCGAUGUCGGCUCAUCACAUCCUGGGGCUGAAGUAGGUCCCAAGGGUAUGGCUGUUCGCCAUUUAAAGUGGUACGCGAGCUGGGUUUAGAACGUCGUGAGACAGUUCGGUCCCUAUCUGCCGUGGGCGCUGGAGAACUGAGGGGGGCUGCUCCUAGUACGAGAGGACCGGAGUGGACGCAUCACUGGUGUUCGGGUUGUCAUGCCAAUGGCACUGCCCGGUAGCUAAAUGCGGAAGAGAUAAGUGCUGAAAGCAUCUAAGCACGAAACUUGCCCCGAGAUGAGUUCUCCCUGACUCCUUGAGAGUCCUGAAGGAACGUUGAAGACGACGACGUUGAUAGGCCGGGUGUGUAAGCGCAGCGAUGCGUUGAGCUAACCGGUACUAAUGAACCGUGAG